RNAcentral lists this ribosomal RNA (253 nucleotides) under uncultured bacterium. RNAcentral describes it as "partial 16S ribosomal RNA". It matches the Rfam family "Bacterial small subunit ribosomal RNA", at positions 524 to 776 of the family's 1533-position model. The record is from RNAcentral.
UACGAAGGGUGCAAGCGUUACUCGGAAUUACUGGGCGUAAAGGGUGCGCAGGCGGUUAUAUAAGACAGAUGUGAAAUCCCCGGGCUCAACCUGGGAACUGCGUUUGUGACUGUAUGACUAGAGUACGGUAGAGAGGGGUGGAAUUCCUGGUGUAGCAGUGAAAUGCGUAGAUAUCAGGAGGAACAUCGAUGGCGAAGGCAGCCCCUUGGACCUGUACUGACGCUCAUGCACGAAAGCGUGGGGAGCAAACAGG